Molecule: transfer RNA, 70 nt
Filed under: human gut metagenome
Also listed under: 2 other names
Rfam family: tRNA
About the family: Transfer RNA (tRNA) molecules are approximately 80 nucleotides in length. Their secondary structure includes four short double-helical elements and three loops (D, anti-codon, and T loops).
Source: RNAcentral
GAAAUAGCUCAAGUUGGUAGAGCAACUGAAUCGUAAUCAGUAGGUUGCGGGUUCAAUUCCUGCUUUCAGC